Leptinotarsa decemlineata (Colorado potato beetle) is the source of this 303-nucleotide long non-coding RNA. The record is from RefSeq and is a predicted model, not a curated record. NCBI's taxonomy places the organism in Eukaryota, Metazoa, Arthropoda, Insecta, Coleoptera, Chrysomelidae.
AAGAUCUACUGUUUUUUUUUCAGGAUAUUUUCAGAAACUCUAUUGGCGAAACAUAAAAUUUCAUUGACUGAACUAAUCAAAAGGGAUAAGAAUCGACCUAGUGUUAUAAUAUGGAGUGCAGCUAAUGAGCCUAGAACCCAGUAUCUUCAAGCGAAAGAUUAUUUCAGGCAGGUAAUCGAGCAUAUAAAACAAUUAGAUGCAUCUCGACCUACUACGAUUGUUGAGGCCCAGAAUGUUAAUAUUGUUCAAUCGUCAUCAUUUGUAGACAUCAUUAGUUUCAAUCGAUAUAACGGCUGGUAUAGU